This 107-nucleotide small nuclear RNA is filed under the name Mandrillus leucophaeus (drill). The record is from RNAcentral. Lineage: Eukaryota; Metazoa; Chordata; Mammalia; Primates; Cercopithecidae.
GUGCUCACUUCCGUAUAGCACAUAUACGAAAAUUGGAAUGAUACAGAGAAGAUGCGUGGCCCCUGUGCAAGAGUAACAUGCAAAUUCGUGAAGCGUUCCUUAUUUUU